AAUAUUGCACAAUGGGCGCAAGCCUGAUGCAGCCAUGCCGCGUGUAUGAAGAAGGCCUUCGGGUUGUAAAGUACUUUCAGCAGUGAGGAAGGUGGGGUAUGUUAAUAGCAUACUCAUUUGACGUUAGCUGCAGAAGAAGCACCGGCUAACUCCGUGCCAGCAGCCGCGGUAAUACGGAGGGUGCGAGCGUUAAUCGGAAUUACUGGGCGUAAAAGCGCAUGCAGGUGGUUUGUUAAGUCAGAUGUGAAAGCCCGGGGCUCAACCUCGGAAUUGCAUUUGAAAACUGGCAAACUAGAGUACUGUAGAGGGGGUAGAAUUUCAGGUGUAGCGGUGAAAUGCGUAGAGAUCUGAAGGAAUACCGGUGGCGAAGGCGGCCCCCUGGACAGAUACUGACACUCAGAUGCGAAAGCGUGGGGAGCAAACAGGAUUAGAUACCCUGGUAG
Molecule: ribosomal RNA, 443 nt
Filed under: uncultured bacterium
Lineage: Bacteria
Description: bacterial SSU rRNA
Rfam family: Bacterial small subunit ribosomal RNA
Source: RNAcentral